Patella vulgata (common limpet) is the source of this 971-nucleotide long non-coding RNA. RefSeq lists it as uncharacterized. The record is from RefSeq and is a predicted model, not a curated record. The transcript is spliced from 10 exons. NCBI's taxonomy places the organism in Eukaryota, Metazoa, Mollusca, Gastropoda, Patellidae.
CCGUGUUCAGUGUAAUUAUUUCACGUACUCUUGUGCAAUAGUAUAGUAUCGUAUUAUAUAUAGUAUUAUAAUCAUGCGUGUUAUUUUGCGGAUUGCAUUGGUCUUGACCUCUGUUGUGACUGUUUCUGGACAAAGGAGCGUGUGGCCUUGGUCAAAAGAUAGAGGGAUGCGAAAUCCAAGAUGCAUCAGUUGCUCAGAGGUAAAAGAGGCUCAUCUGUGUGAAUCGUGCUGUAAAAUGAAUGGGUGUUUGCCUAAUCCCUGUAAAAAUAAUGGUACUUGUUCACCAGUUGGUAACGGUUACAGCUGUAAUUGUGUUACAGGGUAUUUUGGAAAAAACUGUGACGAUUCUGAAGGAACAAUACCAGUUAAAGAGGCGAUACUCUGUAACGUGACAGAGUGUGAAGCUAGAGGCGGAAAUUGUUUCCAAUUAAAAUGUACCACCAAUGUUACCAAUUGUGGUGGUAAAGCCUGUAAUACAACUGUUGGCGCGCACUGUAUUGAUGAUACUUGUGUAUCCUUCAGUAAGUUCAAUGAAGUGUGUAAUGCAGAGGAAAAUGGCGUUACUAUCUCCUGUGGCGAUACAGGUCAACCAUGUGGGGAAGAUAACUUCUGUAAUACUCAUAGUAUAUGUAUGAAUGAUACGUGCAGAUUUAUCUGUGGUUUGGGAGAUGUUUGCGCCAUCGCGGGUUCUGCUGGCACUUGUUCAGACUUUGCUUGUUUCGUACCAUGUGUCGAAGACAGGACGUGUGGUGGUUACCCAUGUGUUGGUGGUUAUUGUGCAAAUGUCUAUUGUGGAGAGUCAUUCUGUUUCGUGUCAGCCUAGGUUAAAGCAAUAUAUACACCAGUACCAGUUUAAAGCACCUAGUUACAAACAACUACAAUAUGGUAUUCUUUACUCCUUUAAAAUAAACAGAUACACCAGCAAGAUAUUAAAAUAUAACCUAGAUCGCAAAAUAAACAUACCUUAUGUG